RNAcentral lists this ribosomal RNA (500 nucleotides) under Aureobasidium proteae. Its description in RNAcentral is "partial 26S ribosomal RNA". The record is from RNAcentral. Lineage: Eukaryota; Fungi; Ascomycota; Dothideomycetes; Dothideales; Saccotheciaceae.
GGCCGUAUUACACCCUGGGCUAUAACACCUCCACCGAAGUGGAGGCCACAUUCCCAGAGCCUUUAUCCGGCCGCCGAAACUGAUGCUGGCCUGUCCAAACUGAGUAAACCGGUCAGAAGACCGGCCGAACAGUUUAAACAAGUCUGAUUGCAAGCGCUUCCCUUUCAACAAUUUCACGUGCUUUUUAACUCUCUUUCCAAAGUGCUUUUCAUCUUUCGAUCACUCUACUUGUGCGCUAUCGGUCUCUCGCCAAUAUUUAGCUUUAGAAGAAAUUUACCUCCCAUUUAGAGCUGCAUUCCCAAACAACUCGACUCGUCGAAGGAGAUUUACAUAGGGUGCCAUUUCCUGUCACAUACGGGAUUCUCACCCUCUAUGACGUCCUGUUCCAAGGAACUUAGACAGGCGGCUUCCCCAAAUCAUCCUCUACAAAUUACAAUGCGAACCCGAAGGCUAGCUUUCAAAUUUGAGCUGUUGCCGCUUCACUCGCCGUUACUAGGGCA